GGCAGACGGGUGAGUAACAUGUAGGUAUCUACCCUUUGGCCUGGAAUAACACGAGGAAACUUGUGCUAAUACUGGAUAAGUCUUUACGGAGAAAGCUUUAUGCACCAUUGGAUGAGCCUGCACUUGAUUAGUUUGUUGGUAGGGUAAUGGCCUACCAAGACUUUGAUCAAUAGCUGAUUUGAGAGGAUGAUCAGCCACAUUGGGACUGAGACACGGCCCAAACUCCUACGGGAGGCAGCAGUGGGGAAUCUUGCACAAUGGAGGAAACUCUGAUGCAGCGAUGCCGCGUGAGUGAAGAAGGCCUUUGGGUUGUAAAGCUCUUUCGUCGGGGAAGAAAAUGACUGUACCCGAAUAAGAAGGUCCGGCUAACUUCGUGCCAGCAGCCGCGGUAAUACGAAGGGACCUAGCGUAGUUCGGAAUUACUGGGCUUAAAGAGUUCGUAGGUGGUUGAAAAAGUUGGUGGUGAAAUCCCAGAGCUUAACUCUGGAACUGCCAUCAAAACUUUUCAGCUAGAGUUUGAUAGAGGAAAGCAGAAUUUCUAGUGUAGAGGUGAAAUUCGUAGAUAUUAGAAAGAAUACCAAUUGCGAAGGCAGCUUUCUGGAUCAUUACUGACACUGAGGAACGAAAGCAUGGGUAGCGAAGAGGAUUAGAUACCCUCGUAGUCCAUGCCGUAAACGAUGUGUGUUAGACGUUGGAAAUUUAUUUUCAGUGUCGCAGCGAAAGCGAUAAACACAC
RNAcentral lists this ribosomal RNA (735 nucleotides) under uncultured marine bacterium. Its description in RNAcentral is "bacterial SSU rRNA". It matches the Rfam family "Bacterial small subunit ribosomal RNA", at positions 97 to 869 of the family's 1533-position model. The record is from RNAcentral.